ACUAUAGUCAUUUAAUGUGUGGUUGGGAAAUGGGAAAUGGGAAAUGGGAAAUGGGAAAGUCCAUUUUUCUUCUUCUUCUUUCUUCUUAGCCAGGGCUCCAUUUUCUUUUUCCAACUCUCUACUACUUACUAUCAGAUCUGAAAAGAAGGAACCUUGCGACAAGAAAGAGUUGGAACCUCGGGUUUCUUCCUGCACCUUUUGUUUAUGUAUGUAUGUAUAUAUAUAUAUAUAUAGUGUUAGGGUUUGACGGGGUCUCUUCCAUAAACCUUUGAUAAGAGUUGCUGCCUACCACCACCUGCUUGUCCAUUGCUGUUUGUUUGGGUUCAUCAAGCUUUGCUUUGAGGGUGCUCAGGCCGGGGAUUUUUCUGUUUUCACCGGUUACUUUCUGUACGCGUCGUCUUGCAUCCAAAGAUAUUACUCCACACAAUGAGAGCAAUCAAGGAUUGUUAGUACUAUCUUUCUUUGGAGUAAAUUUACAAGGUUGAAGCGGCACGCUUGUGUGAUAGGCGGAAUCGGUUUCGGAUGAUGGAG
Impatiens glandulifera is the source of this 531-nucleotide long non-coding RNA. RefSeq lists it as uncharacterized. Lineage: Eukaryota; Viridiplantae; Streptophyta; Magnoliopsida; Ericales; Balsaminaceae. The record is from RefSeq and is a predicted model, not a curated record. The transcript is spliced from 5 exons.